GACGAACGCUGGCGGCGUGCUUAACACAUGCAAGUCGAACGGAAAGGCCCUGCUUUUGUGGGGUGCUCGAGUGGCGAACGGGUGAGUAACACGUGAGUAACCUACCCUUGACUUUGGGAUAACUUCAGGAAACUGGGGCUAAUACCAGAUAGGAGCUCCUCCUGCAGGGUGGGGGUUGGAAAGUUUCGGCGGUUGGGGAUGGACUCGCGGCUUAUCGGCUUGUUGGUUGGGUAGUGGCUUACCAAGGGUUUGACGGGUAGCCGGCAUGGGAGGGUGACCGGCCACAUUGGGACUGAGAUACGGCCCAGACUCCUACGGGAGGCAGCAGUGGGGAAUAUGGCACAAUGGGCGGACGCCUGAUGCAGCAACGCUGCGUGCGGGAUGACGGCCUUCGGGUUGUAAACCGCUUUCGCCUGUGACGAAGCGUGAGUGACGGUACUGGGUAAAGAAGCACCGGCUAACUACGUG
This 468-nucleotide ribosomal RNA is filed under the name uncultured bacterium. Its description in RNAcentral is "partial 16S ribosomal RNA". It matches the Rfam family "Bacterial small subunit ribosomal RNA", at positions 28 to 507 of the family's 1533-position model. The record is from RNAcentral.